RNAcentral lists this small RNA (544 nucleotides) under bovine gut metagenome. Its description in RNAcentral is "ROOL RNA". It matches the Rfam family "ROOL RNA". Rfam says of the family: Firmicutes, Fusobacteria (1 example), Tenericutes (1 example). Environment (Cow rumen (57)) The record is from RNAcentral.
UUGAAUAAUCUCUACGGUCAACUCGAUGAACAAAGCAUGCCAGUGCUUCGAGGCGCAUGGGAUUCCUGGUCUUUAAUACAAGGAUACUUGUAUAACAAGAUCACUUGAAAACAGUGAUGUUCAAAGGAAGGCGGAGCCGCCAACGGAAACAUGUGUCGCAGAACUGUCUGCAUUGAAAAGUUUGGAUCUUCCGGGUGCAAUAAUAGACGCUCGUUGUGCGAGAAUAAUCCUAGGGAAUGCUGGUUUGGCAUCUGGUACGACUUAGGAAUUGCCACUAAUGCACUUUGCCUUGAAUCGGAGAAAUCCGAGUAUAACGGAACAAUCCAGAAAGAGUAGCCGAAUGGCAGCAUACAACCAUUAUCUGUCUUUUUUGCAAUCUGAAUGGACGGUGAAUUUGCAGGUAACCAAUCCUGUACAGGUUAUGGCGUAAGCCGGGGCAAGAAGCUUAUGGUCGACGGACUGUAAGCUCAGACUUGUCUCCCUGUUGACCGAAUAUCAAUGGAGGACAACAAUGUACGACGAAGGUCGGAUCGUAGAGAUUUUU